CCACCACCAAAGCAUUCUCUGGUGUUGAAGGCCCUGCAAAGCAGCAUCGCGGUGGCGGAGCGUCGUUUGCGACGCCCAACACACAAAACAAGCGGUGAGUGCUUUGGGGUGGGGUGACUGCGUACCUUUUGUAUAAUGGGUCAGCGACUUAUAUUCUGUAGCAAGGUUAACCGAAUAGGGGAGCCGCAGGGAAACCGAGUCUUAAUUGGGCGUUAAGUUGCAGGGUAUAGACCCGAAACCCGGUGAUCUAGCCAUGGGCAGGUUGAAGGUUGGGUAACACUAACUGGAGGACCGAACCGACUAAUGUUGAAAAAUUAGCGGAUGACCUGUGGCUGGGGGUGAAAGGCCAAUCAAACCGGGAGAUAGCUGGUUCUCCCCGAAAGCUAUUUAGGUAGCGCCUCGUGAAUUCAUCUCCGGGGGUAGAGCACUGUUUCGGCUAGGGGGCCAUCCCGGCUUACCAACCCGAUGCAAACUGCGAAUACCGGAGAAUGUUAUCACGGGAGACACACGGCGGGUGCUAACGUCCGUCGUGAAGAGGGAAACAACCCAGACCGCCAGCUAAGGUCCCAAAGUCAUGGUUAAGUGGGAAACGAUGUGGGAAGGCCCAGACAGCCAGGAUGUUGGCUUAGAAGCAGCCAUCAUUUAAAGAAAGCGUAAUAGCUCACUGGUCGAGUCGGCCUGCGCGGAAGAUGUAACGGGGCUAAACCAUGCACCGAAGCUGCGGCAGCGAACGUAUCACUUAAAGCGAUUCAGCGGGUUACGAUUGACGGAGCGAAGCGACGUCAAAGCGUAUACAAAGUCGAGUCGGUUUAAGGAUACGUUCGUUGGGUAGGGGAGCGUUCUGUAAGCCUGUGAAGGUGGCCUGUGAGGG
RNAcentral lists this ribosomal RNA (871 nucleotides) under Salmonella enterica subsp. enterica serovar Corvallis. Its description in RNAcentral is "partial 23S ribosomal RNA". It matches the Rfam family "Bacterial large subunit ribosomal RNA", at positions 566 to 1269 of the family's 2925-position model. The record is from RNAcentral. Lineage: Bacteria; Pseudomonadati; Pseudomonadota; Gammaproteobacteria; Enterobacterales; Enterobacteriaceae.